RNAcentral lists this ribosomal RNA (318 nucleotides) under Aspergillus sp. Its description in RNAcentral is "SSU rRNA". It matches the Rfam family "Eukaryotic small subunit ribosomal RNA", at positions 866 to 1182 of the family's 1831-position model. The record is from RNAcentral. Lineage: Eukaryota; Fungi; Ascomycota; Eurotiomycetes; Eurotiales; Aspergillaceae.
UGAUUAAUAGGGAUAGUCGGGGGCGUCAGUAUUCAGCUGUCAGAGGUGAAAUUCUUGGAUUUGCUGAAGACUAACUACUGCGAAAGCAUUCGCCAAGGAUGUUUUCAUUAAUCAGGGAACGAAAGUUAGGGGAUCGAAGACGAUCAGAUACCGUCGUAGUCUUAACCAUAAACUAUGCCGACUAGGGAUCGGGCGGCGUUUCUAUGAUGACCCGCUCGGCACCUUACGAGAAAUCAAAGUUUUUGGGUUCUGGGGGGAGUAUGGUCGCAAGGCUGAAACUUAAAGAAAUUGACGGAAGGGCACCACAAGGCGUGGAGC